UACGUAGGGCGCGAGCGUUGUCCGGAAUUAUUGGGCGUAAAGAGCUCGUAGGUGGCUUGUUGCGUCUGCCGUGAAAGCCCGUGGCUUAACUACGGGUCUGCGGUGGAUACGGGCAGGCUAGAGGCUGGUAGGGGCAAGCGGAAUUCCUGGUGUAGCGGUGAAAUGCGCAGAUAUCAGGAGGAACACCGGUGGCGAAGGCGGCUUGCUGGGCCAGUUCUGACGCUGAGACGCGAAAGCGUGGGGAGCGAACCGG
RNAcentral lists this ribosomal RNA (253 nucleotides) under uncultured bacterium. Its description in RNAcentral is "partial 16S ribosomal RNA". It matches the Rfam family "Bacterial small subunit ribosomal RNA", at positions 524 to 776 of the family's 1533-position model. The record is from RNAcentral.